RNAcentral lists this ribosomal RNA (497 nucleotides) under uncultured bacterium. RNAcentral's name for it is "partial 16S ribosomal RNA". It matches the Rfam family "Bacterial small subunit ribosomal RNA", at positions 28 to 507 of the family's 1533-position model. The record is from RNAcentral.
GAUGAACGCUGGCGGCGUGCCUAAUACAUGCAAGUCGAGCGAACAGACGAGGAGCUUGCUCCUUUGACGUUAGCGGCGGACGGGUGAGUAACACGUGGGUAACCUACCUAUAAGACUGGGAUAACUUCGGGAAACCGGAGCUAAUACCGGAUAAUAUUUCGAACCGCAUGGUUCGAUAGUGAAAGAUGGUUUUGCUGUCACUUAUAGAUGGACCUGCGCCGUAUUAGCUAGUUGGUAAGGUAACGGCUUACCAAGGCAACGAUACGUAGCCGACCUGAGAGGGUGAUCGGCCACACUGGAACUGAGACACGGUCCAGACUCCUACGGGAGGCAGCAGUAGGGAAUCUUCCGCAAUGGGCGAAAGCCUGACGGAGCAACGCCGCGUGAGUGAUGAAGGUCUUCGGAUCGUAAAACUCUGUUAUUAGGGAAGAACAAACGUGUAAGUAACUGUGCACGUCUUGACGGUACCUAAUCAGAAAGCCACGGCUAACUACGUG